UACGUAGGGGCGAGCGUUGUCCGGAAUGAUUGGGCGUAAAGGGCGCGUAGGCGGCCUAUCAAGUCAGUAGUGGAAGUCCAGCUUUCAAGGUUGGAAGUGCUAUAGAAACUGAUGGGCUUGAGUGCAGGAGAGGUUAUCGGAAUUCCCGGUGUAGCGGUGAAAUGCGUAGAGAUCGGGAGGAACACCAGUGGCGAAGGCGGGUAACUGGACUGCAGCUGACGCUGAGGCGCGAAAGUGUGGGGAGCAAACAGGAUUAGAUACCCU
This 264-nucleotide ribosomal RNA is filed under the name uncultured prokaryote. RNAcentral describes it as "partial 16S ribosomal RNA". It matches the Rfam family "Bacterial small subunit ribosomal RNA", at positions 524 to 788 of the family's 1533-position model. The record is from RNAcentral.